RNAcentral lists this ribosomal RNA (494 nucleotides) under uncultured bacterium. Its description in RNAcentral is "partial 16S ribosomal RNA". It matches the Rfam family "Bacterial small subunit ribosomal RNA", at positions 28 to 507 of the family's 1533-position model. The record is from RNAcentral.
GACGAACGCUGGCGGCGUGCUUAACACAUGCGAGUCGAACGGUAAGGCGCCUUCCUUUUUGGUGGGGGCGGAUGGGUGGCUAACAGGUGAGUAACACGUGCGUAACCUUCCCCCUACUUCUGGAUAACCGCAUUAAAGUGUGGCUAAUCCCGGAUAUUCUGGGUCUGUCGCUUGAUGGGUCUUGGGAAGGUGUUGGGUCGGCGGGGGAUGGGCUCGCGGCCUAUCAGCUGGUUGGUGGGGUGAUGGCCUAGCAAGGCGGUGGCGGGUAGACGGCGUGAGAGGGUGGCCGGUCACAGUGGGAGUGCGACCAGGCUGAGACUGCGACGGGAGGCAGCAGGGGGGAAUAUGGCACAAUGGGGGAAAGUCUGAUGCGGGGACGCGGCGUGAGGGACGGCGGCCUUCGGGUGGUGAACCUCUUUCGCUAGUGAAGCAGGCCUGCCUCGGUUGUGGGGGGGUUGACGGUAGCUGGAGAAGAAGCGCCGGCUAACUACGUG